Molecule: non-coding RNA, 91 nt
Organism: Gossypium raimondii (Peruvian cotton)
Lineage: Eukaryota; Viridiplantae; Streptophyta; Magnoliopsida; Malvales; Malvaceae
Source: Rfam
CACGUCAGCGCGCUUUGCUGACCUGCAUGGCAACAAAUCGCGUGCACGAGGGGGCGAUUUGUUGCCACGUCAGUAAAGCGCGCUGACGUGG